This 513-nucleotide ribosomal RNA is filed under the name uncultured bacterium. RNAcentral's name for it is "bacterial SSU rRNA". It matches the Rfam family "Bacterial small subunit ribosomal RNA", at positions 34 to 518 of the family's 1533-position model. The record is from RNAcentral.
CGCUGGCGGCGUGCCUAAUACAUGCAAGUCGAACGGUCUUUUCUAUGGAAGCUUGCUUCCACUGAGAAGAUAGUGGCGAACGGGUGAGUAACACGUGGGUAACCUGCCCAUAAGAGGGGGAUAACAUCCGGAAACGGGUGCUAAUACCGCAUAGUUUUCUUGAUCGCAUGAUUGAGAAAGGAAAGACGGCCUUUGUGCUGUCGCUUAUGGAUGGACCCGCGGCGUAUUAGUUAGUUGGUGAGGUAACGGCUCACCAAGACGAUGAUACGUAGCCGACCUGAGAGGGUGAUCGGCCACAUUGGGACUGAGACACGGCCCAAACUCCUACGGGAGGCAGCAGUAGGGAAUCUUCCGCAAUGGACGAAAGUCUGACGGAGCAACGCCGCGUGAGUGAAGAAGGUUUUUCCGGAUCGUAAAACUCUGUUGUCAGAGAAGAACAAGUUGGAGAGUAACUGCUCCAGCCUUGACGGUAUCUGACCAGAAAGCCACGGCUAACUACGUGCCAGCAGCUGC